ACAAGAUCAAAAGGCUUCUCCACAAAAGAAAAAUAUUGAUCAGCUAGACUUAUCAAAUAUUAAACACAUUUUGUGGUUACGAGAGGAAGAGAUAAGGGUUGGGGAAAUUGGACAAAGGUGGUCAAAAGGUACAAACUUUCAGUUAUAAGAUAAAUAAUUACUGGGGAUGUCAUAUACAACAUGAGGACUAAAGUUAACACUGCUGUAUGGCAUAUUUAAAAGCUCUUAAGAGUAUAACUCCUAAGAGUUCUCAUCAC
Phyllostomus discolor (pale spear-nosed bat) is the source of this 257-nucleotide long non-coding RNA. RefSeq lists it as uncharacterized. The record is from RefSeq and is a predicted model, not a curated record. The transcript has 2 exons. Lineage: Eukaryota; Metazoa; Chordata; Mammalia; Chiroptera; Phyllostomidae.